GUAGGUGAACCUGCGGAAGGAUCAUUAUUGAAUAAAUCUGAUGUGGUUGUAGCUGGCUCUCCGGGGCAUGUGCACACCCGUCACCUUUAUCUUUCCACCUGUGCACACACUGUAGUCCUGGAUACCUCUCGUCGGAAGGCGGACUUGGGGUUUGCCGUUUGCCCUCAGGCUCGGCUCACUCUGAAUUUCCAGGUCUAUGAUCUCACACACCCCCAAAGAAUGUAACAGAAUGUCAUCACAGGGCCCUUGU
Molecule: unclassified non-coding RNA, 250 nt
Filed under: plant metagenome
Description: partial contains small subunit ribosomal RNA, internal transcribed spacer 1, and 5.8S ribosomal RNA
Source: RNAcentral